CAGCCGCCGCGGGAAGACGAACCGUGCGAACGUUAUUCGGAAUCAUUGGGCUUAAAGCGCGUGUAGGCGGAUGGGAACGUCGGUCGCUGAAAUACCCCGGCUCAACCGGGGAACUGGCAUCGAAACGACCCGUCUCGAGGGGCAUAGGGGGAGCUGGAACUUCCGGUGGAGCGGUGAAAUGCGUUGAGAUCGGAAGGAACGCCCGUGGCGAAAGCGAGCUCCUGGAUGUCUUCUGACGCUGAGACGCGAAAGCUAGGGUAGCGAACGGGAUUAGAUACCCCAGUAGUCCCUGUCUCUUAUA
This 301-nucleotide ribosomal RNA is filed under the name uncultured bacterium. Its description in RNAcentral is "partial 16S ribosomal RNA". It matches the Rfam family "Bacterial small subunit ribosomal RNA", at positions 509 to 808 of the family's 1533-position model. The record is from RNAcentral.